RNAcentral lists this long non-coding RNA (278 nucleotides) under Crocodylus porosus (Australian saltwater crocodile). RNAcentral describes it as "lncRNA (ENSCPRG00005017202.1)". Lineage: Eukaryota; Metazoa; Chordata; Crocodylia; Crocodylidae. The record is from RNAcentral.
CAAGAUUCAAGGAUUAUAACCAAUGCUGUUGCUAUUUCAUUGCUACAACUAAGGGCUGAGCUGGGCCAAAAGAUGACCCAUAUCUGGACAGCAGGUAUCCAGGAAUGCAAAUCAAAGCACUCGCAAAGGCACAAUGCCCUCUGGGUGGUAACAGAGAAGCACAGGACGGAAGAUGCUGACCCUCAACUCCCAUUGGAGUCAAUUGCUCAGCAGUAUAUCUCAGGAUGUGGCCUACUGCAUGUUUCUGUUAAUAAAUAAUGACACAUAUUGUGCUAAUC